AGGAAACCGAGAAAGACAGAGGAUUCUAGAGACUGGAUGCAAAAAAGGUGCUAACCAUUUUUGCAGAGACAACGAAAUGCUGACGUUCUUACCCCGUUAUGUCUCCGUGUGUGCAGGAAGUGGGUACAGCCGAAAAGAGAAGCUGCCACGGUAGCGUGCAUCACCAACCACAGAGCACAGAGUCAACUCUUCACCCCUCAGUUUCUCUUUGCAGAGGGGGAAGUGGGAGUUUGCUGAGGCUGACCUGCUGAUAAACACUGCCAGGCCUUGAACUAUGCUGGAUUUUUCUUCGCAGAAAUGGAUGGAUAGAUGAGAAACUUGUGCCGUGCAGUAGAUUUGCUAGAAGAUCCUUAUCUGACACUGUGGGAAGCUGUGUGAGAAGGGAAGUGUUUGCAUACCGUUGAUCAUCAACACUGCUUGAAAUUUGCUCUAGUGAUACGGACAGGGCAGGACAAGAGCCAAGCGCUCAUUUUCAAGAUGGAGUUCAGAAUCAGAUGAGCUCUCCUGCUGUCUUGUCUCUCCUCCUGUUUCUCCUCUCUCACGCUCCCUCGAUUCGCACCGCAGAGCCCGAGCAGCUGUACUCCAGUCUACCGGGGUCGUAAAAACCAGGGCCGAAAGAGGAAGUUCUGAGGGAGCUUGUGAGUUAUUGCCCCCCAACGUACACAUGGGGGCCUGGGAACUGCCCUCCACCCUCACCAAGCCUGAAACAAGACUGACGGCUGAAGCUUGAUGCCCCUUCACCCUGUGUGUACACAAUCUCCAUUACACACACUAAAGGGAGUGACCCUAAACCUUGUAUGUACAGCUCAUCAGCAAUAUGGGAACGUAUGUGUCACUGUAAUUGGGUUAGAUCUGUAAGGCUACUUCAUCUGUCUGAUUAACUAGGCUUUUAAGAACGUUCAGUUCACAGUGUGUUUGCAUAAUGUUAUCAGAGAAAAACAUUUUAUCCUGCAUUUUUAAACUAUUUUUUAAAGUAAAUUGUUCUGAUAUAGUAAGGCACUUACAGUAGAAGUAAACUGGUCCUGCACUUUGAAGGUUUAAAAGCAAAGAAGCUUGUAUUACAUUAAUUCGUUCUUUAAAUUGUUUUAUUCGAGCUGUUAAGGUAGUUGUGUAAAUCAUUUUUGUGUGUGUUGGGACUACUUUUCUAGGUAGAGAAUUCAUCAUCAAUUUGUUUGGUUUUUCUUACAUUGCACCUUGUCUAUAUCAUUCAAACAUUACAGGAAGUUGUGAUAUUGGAUAUUGCUAUGGUAACUCUAAUGCUAACACAUUAAGGCUUGGUUUCACCGGUUUAGGCCUUAGUUCACAUUUAAAGGGUUAGUUCACCCCAAAAUGAAAAUUCUGUCAUUCUUACCCUCAUGCCGUUCCAC
Molecule: long non-coding RNA, 1367 nt
Organism: Megalobrama amblycephala (Wuchang bream)
Lineage: Eukaryota; Metazoa; Chordata; Actinopteri; Cypriniformes; Xenocyprididae
Exons: 3
Source: RefSeq, a predicted model, not a curated record